AUUUAUUUAGUUUUUACUAAUCUACUGUAUAAGAUUUUUACAUUUGUCUUAUAGUAUGCAAGGAGCACAUUUUCACAAACUUGGCCUAAAAUACAGUUAUUUUGUAGUGCAUUUCUUUUAGAUUUUUUUUUAGACAAUAAAUUCAAAUUAAAAAGAAUUUUACAGUGUACUGCAUUACUACUAGAGACAAAUAAUAUCAAAAUAAUAAAUAAAGUCUACCAGCUAUAACUCAAAAGAUUGACAAUUCUAUGUAAGGGGGGUCUAAAGUUCAGAUUGACAGCUUCAGAAUUACUAAUUUUUUACCUUUUUUAACUAAACCUAAUCACUACUUAACAUAAAUUAUCAGCACCCAGAAUUAUUAUCCCC
This 366-nucleotide long non-coding RNA is filed under the name Mytilus galloprovincialis (Mediterranean mussel). Lineage: Eukaryota; Metazoa; Mollusca; Bivalvia; Mytilida; Mytilidae. The record is from RNAcentral.